GACGAACGCUGGCGGCGUGCUUAACACAUGCAAGUCGAACGGAAAGGCCCUGCUUGCAUGGUCCUCGAGUGGCGAACUGGUGAGUAACACGUGGGUGCUCUGCCCUGCACUUUUGGGUAAGCUUGGGCAACUGGGUCUAUUACCGGAUAGGACCUCCCUUUUGUGUGUGUGGUGGAAAGUUUUUUCGGGGUAGGAUGAUUUCGCGGGCUAUCAGCUUGUUGGUGGGGUAAUGGCCUACCAAGGCGGCGACGGGUAGCCGGCCUGGGGGGGUGUACGGCCACAUUGGGACUGAGAGAAGGCCCAGACGCCGACGGGAGGAAGAAGGGGGGAAGAUUGAACAAGGGGCGCAAGCCGGAUGCAGAGACGCCGCGGGGGGGAUGAAGGCCUUGGGGUUGAAAAAUCGUUUCGCUAGGGAAGAAGCUUUUUGUGACGGUACCUAGAGAAGAAGCACCGGCUAACUACGUG
Molecule: ribosomal RNA, 465 nt
Filed under: uncultured bacterium
Lineage: Bacteria
Description: partial 16S ribosomal RNA
Rfam family: Bacterial small subunit ribosomal RNA
Source: RNAcentral